AGCCUUAGGGGAGGACGAGGAGGAUGAGGAGGAGGAGGAAGCAGCAGCCGCCGUCCAGGCGUCGGGGGCAGCGCCGGCGCUCCGCCGCCUCCUCCUGAAGUGGACAUCGGUGGGGAAGGGCUCGCCGAACUCGUCCACGCGGCUCGAAGAAGCUGAUGAGAAGAAGCCCACGUGUAGCACUUUUUAUAGCAUUCGGUGUCUCCUGCGUUUCGCAGAUAUGAAGCACUUGAAGCAACUUGGGGCAGGGUUAUUUUUAUACUGGGCAGUUUUCAGCACCCUCCGGGAAAAGAGAGAUUAUUUCCUUAUCUAAGGUGGUUGGUGUUUUGUUUUACAAUUUGGAAAAUUUCCAUAAAAAUUUAAGACAUCCUUUAAAA
This is a long non-coding RNA of Oxyura jamaicensis (ruddy duck), 374 nucleotides long. RefSeq lists it as uncharacterized. Lineage: Eukaryota; Metazoa; Chordata; Aves; Anseriformes; Anatidae. The record is from RefSeq and is a predicted model, not a curated record. The transcript has 2 exons.